GGGGAUCUGCCCGAUAGAGGGGGAUAACCACUGGAAACGGUGGCUAAUACCGCAUAACGUCGCAAGACCAAAGAGGGGGACCUUCGGGCCUCUCACUAUCGGAUGAACCCAGAUGGGAUUAGCUAGUAGGCGGGGUAAUGGCCCACCUAGGCGACGAUCCCUAGCUGGUCUGAGAGGAUGACCAGCCACACUGGAACUGAGACACGGUCCAGACUCCUACGGGAGGCAGCAGUGGGGAAUAUUGCACAAUGGGCGCAAGCCUGAUGCAGCCAUGCCGCGUGUAUGAAGAAGGCCUUCGGGUUGUAAAGUACUUUCAGCGGGGAGGAAGGCGGUGAGGUUAAUAACCUUACCGAUUGACGUUACCCGCAGAAGAAGCACCGGCUAACUCCGUGCCAGCAGCCGCGGUAAUACGGAGGGUGCAAGCGUUAAUCGGAAUUACUGGGCGUAAAGCGCACGCAGGCGGUCUGUUAAGUCAGAUGUGAAAUCCCCGGGCUUAACCUGGGAGCUGCAUUUGAAACUGGCAGGCUUGAGUCUUGUAGAGGGGGGUAGAAUUCCAGGU
This 559-nucleotide ribosomal RNA is filed under the name uncultured bacterium. RNAcentral describes it as "bacterial SSU rRNA". It matches the Rfam family "Bacterial small subunit ribosomal RNA", at positions 120 to 674 of the family's 1533-position model. The record is from RNAcentral.